RNAcentral lists this ribosomal RNA (292 nucleotides) under uncultured eukaryote. Its description in RNAcentral is "partial 18S ribosomal RNA". It matches the Rfam family "Eukaryotic small subunit ribosomal RNA", at positions 6 to 300 of the family's 1831-position model. The record is from RNAcentral.
GGUUGAUCCUGCCAGUAAUCAUAUGCUUGUCUUAAAGACUAAGCCAUGCAAGUCUAAGGAUAAAUAAUUUUAUCGUAAACCUGCAAACGGCUCAUUAAAUCAGUUUUAAUCUACUUUAUUAUAUAAUCCUAAAUGGAUAACUGUAGUAAUUCUAGAGCUAAUACAUGCAAAAAACCCGAACUCACGAACGGGUGUAAUUAUUUGAAUUCAAACUAAUCAGGUUUCGGCCUGUUAAUUAAAUCGAUUGAAAAUACAUUUACGAAUCACGAUUUAAUUCUGUGAUGAUAAAAAU